Molecule: microRNA precursor, 193 nt
Organism: Oryza sativa Japonica Group (Japanese rice)
Lineage: Eukaryota; Viridiplantae; Streptophyta; Magnoliopsida; Poales; Poaceae
Rfam family: MIR812 microRNA precursor family
Source: Rfam
AAAAGGCCAAACCCUGGAUUUGCGUGUCCAACUUUGACUGUCCGUCUUAUAUGAAAUUUUUUUAUAAUUCGUAUUUUCAUUGUUGUUAGAUGAUAAAACAUGAUUAAUAUUUUAUGCGUGACUUGUCUUUUUAUUUUUUUCAAAUAAGACGGACGGUUAAAUAUUGGGCACGGAAACCAGGGUUUGUCUUUUU